UAACUGAAGAGUUUGAUCAUGGCUCAGAUUGAACGCUGGCGGCAGGCUUAACACAUGCAAGUCGAGCGGGGGAAGGUAGCUUGCUACUGGACCUAGCGGCGGACGGGUGAGUAAUGCUUAGGAAUCUGCCUAUUAGUGGGGGACAACAUCUCGAAAGGGAUGCUAAUACCGCAUACGUCCUACGGGAGAAAGCAGGGGAUCUUCGGACCUUGCGCUAAUAGAUGAGCCUAAGUCGGAUUAGCUAGUUGGUGGGGUAAAGGCCUACCAA
This 268-nucleotide ribosomal RNA is filed under the name Acinetobacter baumannii. RNAcentral's name for it is "partial 16S ribosomal RNA". It matches the Rfam family "Bacterial small subunit ribosomal RNA", at positions 1 to 271 of the family's 1533-position model. The record is from RNAcentral. Lineage: Bacteria; Pseudomonadati; Pseudomonadota; Gammaproteobacteria; Moraxellales; Moraxellaceae.